CCAUUUGUCGUUGAACAAUUCUUAAUUAAUUACUGUAUUUUCGGAUCUCAAUUAUCAUUUUUAUCAUUACUAGUAAAUUAUCUUUUCUGUGGUGUAUUAUAUAUUCAGUUAACCUAUCGUUAAACAAGGAUCACUUGUUAUUUUUUGCGGAAGUAGAAAUAGAUCAGGAGCUACAAGAUAAUUUUAGCAAGUUUAGAAAAAAAAUCCAUCGAAGGCCGUUUGGACAGUGUGAAAGGUUAUACGGUGUCGUUCCAACGAUAUACCAUCGAGGGAAUUAAUUCAUGUAGAAAUCCAAGAUCCCAGAAGAAUCGAAGGGAACUUGCACAGAAAUGAUCCUUUAAAAUCAUCCAGGAAGUCAUCGACAGGUCUGGUCAUCCGGUGUGCCGAUAAUUGGCGGUCAUCU
Osmia bicornis bicornis is the source of this 403-nucleotide long non-coding RNA. RefSeq lists it as uncharacterized. The transcript has 4 exons. The record is from RefSeq and is a predicted model, not a curated record. NCBI's taxonomy places the organism in Eukaryota, Metazoa, Arthropoda, Insecta, Hymenoptera, Megachilidae.